This 76-nucleotide transfer RNA is filed under the name Santalum album (white sandalwood). RNAcentral describes it as "tRNA-Thr". It matches the Rfam family "tRNA". Rfam says of the family: Transfer RNA (tRNA) molecules are approximately 80 nucleotides in length. Their secondary structure includes four short double-helical elements and three loops (D, anti-codon, and T loops). Lineage: Eukaryota; Viridiplantae; Streptophyta; Magnoliopsida; Santalales; Santalaceae. The record is from RNAcentral.
GUCACGAUGAGAAUAAAAAAUGGCAGUUCGCUGGGAUUGUAUCCCAGAGGUGUUGGUUCGAGUCCAACUCGUGACA